RNAcentral lists this ribosomal RNA (301 nucleotides) under uncultured bacterium. RNAcentral describes it as "partial 16S ribosomal RNA". It matches the Rfam family "Bacterial small subunit ribosomal RNA", at positions 509 to 807 of the family's 1533-position model. The record is from RNAcentral.
CAGCAGCCGCGGUAAUACAGAGGCCUCAAGCGUUGUUCGGAUUCAUUGGGCGUAAAGGGUGCGUAGGUGGCUUGGUAAGUUGAAGGUGAAAUCUCGGGGCUUAACCCCGAAACUGCCUUCAAUACUGCUAGGCUCGAGGACUGUAGAGGAGAAUGGAAUUCACGGUGUAGCAGUGAAAUGCGUAGAUAUCGUGAGGAAGACCAGUGGCGAAGGCGAUUCUCUGGGCAGUUCCUGACACUGAGGCACGAAGGCCAGGGGAGCAAACGGGAUUAGAUACCCCGGUAGUCCCUGUCUCUUAUAC